GUGGGCGAGCCUCAAGGUGGCGACCGUAUCUGAUGGAGGCCAGGCAGGUGAGCUGUCGAGGAAAAGGUGCCGCACGCAGGCUUCGGAGGGGAGACGCCGCAUGGCGACGAGAGGUCCGAGAGGUUGUGCGCCGGCUGCCUUUGGGCCUGGAUGCGCGUUUGAGGUGAG
Non-coding RNA from Phalacrocorax carbo (great cormorant), 168 nucleotides. The record is from RefSeq and is a predicted model, not a curated record. NCBI's taxonomy places the organism in Eukaryota, Metazoa, Chordata, Aves, Suliformes, Phalacrocoracidae.